Molecule: ribosomal RNA, 497 nt
Filed under: uncultured bacterium
Lineage: Bacteria
Description: partial 16S ribosomal RNA
Rfam family: Bacterial small subunit ribosomal RNA
Source: RNAcentral
GAUGAACGCUGGCGGCGUGCCUAAUACAUGCCAGUCGAGCGAACAGACGAGGAGCUUGCUCCUUUGACGUUAGCGGCGGACGGGUGAGUAACACGUAGGUAACCUACCUAUAAGACUGGGAUAACUUCGGGAAACCGGAGCUAAUACCGGAUAAUAUUUCGAACCGCAUGGUUCGAUAGUGAAAGAUGGCUUUGCUAUCACUUAUAGAUGGACCUGCGCCGUAUUAGCUAGUUGGUAAGGUAACGGCUUACCAAGGCAACGAUACGUAGCCGACCUGAGAGAGUGAUCGGCCACACUGGAACUGAGACACGGUCCAGACUCCUACGGGAGGCAGCAGUAGGGAAUCUUCCGCAAUGGGCGAAAGCCUGACGGAGCAACGCCGCGUGAGUGAUGAAGGUCUUCGGAUCGUAAAACUCUGUUAUUAGGGAAGAACAAACGUGUAAGUAACUGUGCACGUCUUGACGGUACCUAAUCAGAAAGCCACGGCUAACUACGUG